GGAAAUGCUGGCAGAAGAACAAAGUAGGGGAAUGGUAGGAGAUGUCAAUUAAAUUUUCACUGGAACAAUGGAAUUUGAUGUGUCUUUGGAAUAUCCUGUGGAAGAGAUGAAAUAGAGAGUUUCACAUCAAAGCCAUCAGCGCUGUCAAAAGUUUCAGUUUCUUCGAGACCGAAUUGCAAAAGCUCCCCAACAAUGGACUAUCUCCCUACCAAGAAUUUCUGGCAUCGAAGGACCUGUGAAGAAGGCAAGGAAAGAAAGAGGUGGCUGCUGUUGCAGUGUUUGCCAUUGAUUCAGAGGUUUUCCAGUGGACCUCAGGUUCCUGCAGGCUGCCUGGGCCAGAGCCAGGGCAUGACCACACAGAAGAUGAGGAAGGGGAGCUCUGCCUGUUCUCUGUUGCUCACUUCUGGUCACCACACCCACAUUGAGCUCAUCAAAUUUUGGAGGUGUGGUUUUAUAUUCACAGUCAUUAGAAAAAGAAUGACAUGAAUUACAACACCCAACUUUUCAGAUCUGAGAAUGUUUGACAUGCCAGGUGUCAUGAGGAAUCUGACUUGUUCUCAGACAUAGCCCAGAAAAGAAAAAGCAAAGUACUUUCGCACAAGGGUGUGCUACCAAAUCAGGUCUGCAGAGCAAUCACACCUGAGUUGGCAGUCCACAUCCCUAAUGCAGCUCUGACCCUUGACCUGAUGAACAAACUUAGGCGUACAAUUUAUGACUUUGCUAUAAUUGAGGUAUAACUGAGACUCUUCAUUUCUGUCUAAAGUUUUCUUAAAAAAAAUUUAAUCCUUCUGAUAACCAUUAACAUAUAGUGGUAGUUUCAUUGGAUUAGAAGAGCACUAGACUUUGGUUUGGUAGGGUCAUAAUUAGGUAAUAUUGUGUGAUGUUUUACCUCCAUUAUGGACAUAACAAAGGCACUAGAGUGUGUUGACUUUGAGCCCUUCUCCAGUAAGUAUUGUUCACUUUGAAAAUCAAUAUAGCCUCCCUUGAUUUCUUUUGAUUGGGAGAAUGAAGUAGAGUGGGAUGGUUUAUCCUACCAUUUGGUACUACAUAAUCUCAUGGAACCAGUCUUUGAGCACUGGCUUACU
This is a long non-coding RNA of Sciurus carolinensis (gray squirrel), 1085 nucleotides long. RefSeq lists it as uncharacterized. The record is from RefSeq and is a predicted model, not a curated record. The transcript has 3 exons. NCBI's taxonomy places the organism in Eukaryota, Metazoa, Chordata, Mammalia, Rodentia, Sciuridae.